UACGAGUACCCCAAGCGUUAUCCGGAUUUAUUGGGCGUAAAGCGUGCGCAGGCGGCUUGUAACAUCUCUUGUUAAAUCCCAAGGCUCAACCUUGGGGCCGCGAGAGAUAUGGAUAAGCUAGAGACUGGAAGAGGUAAGCGGAAUUGCUGGUGUAGGGGUUAAAUCCGUUAAUAUCAGCAGGAACACCAAAAGCGAAGGCAGCUUACUAGAACAGUUCUGACGCUCAUGCACGAAAGCGUGGGGAGCGAAUGGG
This 253-nucleotide ribosomal RNA is filed under the name uncultured bacterium. RNAcentral describes it as "partial 16S ribosomal RNA". It matches the Rfam family "Bacterial small subunit ribosomal RNA", at positions 524 to 776 of the family's 1533-position model. The record is from RNAcentral.